CCUACGGGUGGCUGCAGUGGGGGAUAUUGGUCAAUGGGCGAAACCCUGAACCAGCAACGCCGCGUGAGGGAAGACGGCCUUCGGGUUGUAAACCUAAGUUAUCAGGGAUGCAACAAAUGACAGUACCUGAAAAGCAAGCUCCGGCUAACUACGUGCCAGAAGCCGCGGUAAUACGUAGGGAGCACUCGGUGUCCGGAUUUACUGGUUGUAAAGGGUGCGUAGGCGGGAACACAAGUCAGGCGUUAAAUACCGGGGCUCAACUCCGGGGCUGCGCUUGAAACUGUGUUUCUUGAGAGAAGUAGAGGCAGGCGGAAUUCCUAGUGUAGCGGUGGAAUGCGUAGAUAUUAGGAGGAACACCAGUUGCGAAGGCGGCCUGCUGGGCUUUAACUGACGCUGAGGCACGAAAGCAUGGGGAGCAAACAGGAUUAGAUACCCGGGUAGUC
Molecule: ribosomal RNA, 443 nt
Filed under: uncultured bacterium
Lineage: Bacteria
Description: partial 16S ribosomal RNA
Rfam family: Bacterial small subunit ribosomal RNA
Source: RNAcentral